UGGGGAAUAUUGGACAAUGGGCGCAAGCCUGAUCCAGCAAUGCCGCGUGUGUGAAGAAGGCCUUCGGGUUGUAAAGCACUUUUAUCAGGAACGAAAAGCGUGGGGUUAAUACCUUUACGUGCUGACGGUACCUGAGGAAUAAGCACCGGCUAACUUCGUGCCAGCAGCCGCGGUAAUACGAAGGGUGCAAGCGUUAAUCGGAAUUACUGGGCGUAAAGCGUGCGUAGAUGGUUUGUUAAGUCGGAUGUGAAAGCCCCGGGCUCAACCUGGGAACUGCAUCCGAUACUGGCAGACUAGAGUGUGGUAGAGGAUGGCGGAAUUCCCGGUGUAGCGGUGAAAUGCGUAGAGAUCGGGAGGAACAUCCGUGGCGAAGGCGGCCAUCUGGACCAACACUGACGUUGAGGCACGAAAGCGUGGGGAGCAAACAGGAUUAGAUACCCACGUAGUCCCUGAGCGGGCUGGCAAGGCGCAU
This 472-nucleotide ribosomal RNA is filed under the name uncultured bacterium. RNAcentral's name for it is "bacterial SSU rRNA". It matches the Rfam family "Bacterial small subunit ribosomal RNA", at positions 355 to 825 of the family's 1533-position model. The record is from RNAcentral.